Molecule: non-coding RNA, 244 nt
Organism: Paramuricea clavata
Lineage: Eukaryota; Metazoa; Cnidaria; Anthozoa; Malacalcyonacea; Plexauridae
Source: the annotation of a GenBank genome assembly
CAGAAAGAAAACAAUCUUUCGGAAUUGUGCUCUCAGAUUAUAUGUGAGAAAGUUGGCUUUUGUUAAUACACUACAGUACUACACGAGAAGUUUCAACACCAUUACCAGCCCAAAGAUGUAGAAACAUAAGGAAAGCGUAAACAGUUAAUUCCUGACCCGCUGACCGUGGCGCUAGUCCAUUCAACCAAACUGAAUCAAAUCGCGUUUGUUCUCCGCGAUGUUUUCCGGGUAGUAUGUCUAGAAC